RNAcentral lists this ribosomal RNA (1346 nucleotides) under uncultured bacterium. Its description in RNAcentral is "partial 16S ribosomal RNA". It matches the Rfam family "Bacterial small subunit ribosomal RNA", at positions 28 to 1381 of the family's 1533-position model. The record is from RNAcentral.
GACGAACGCUGGCGGCGUGCUUAACACAUGCAAGUCGAACGGAAAGGCCCUGCUUUUGUGGGGUGCUCGAGUGGCGAACGGGUGAGUAACACGUGAGUAACCUGCCCUUGACUUUGGGAUAACUUCAGGAAACUGGGGCUAAUACCGGAUAGGAGCUCCUGCUGCAUGGUGGGGGUUGGAAAGUUUCGGCGGUUGGGGAUGGACUCGCGGCUUAUCAGCUUGUUGGUGGGGUAGUGGCUUACCAAGGCUUUGACGGGUAGCCGGCCUGAGAGGGUGACCGGCCACAUUGGGACUGAGGUACGGCCCAGACUCCUACGGGAGGCAGCAGUGGGGAAUAUUGCACAAUGGGCGGAAGCCUGAUGCAGCAACGCCGCGUGCGGGAUGACGGCCUUCGGGUUGUAAACCGCUUUCGCCUGUGACGAAGCGUGAGUGACGGUAAUGGGUAAAGAAGCACCGGCUAACUACGUGCCAGCAGCCGCGGUGAUACGUAGGGUGCGAGCGUUGUCCGGAUUUAUUGGGCGUAAAGGGCUCGUAGGUGGUUGAUCGCGUCGGAAGUGUAAUCUUGGGGCUUAACCCUGAGCGUGCUUUCGAUACGGGUUGACUUGAGGAAGGUAGGGGAGAAUGGAAUUCCUGGUGGAGCGGUGGAAUGCGCAGAUAUCAGGAGGAACACCAGUGGCGAAGGCGGUUCUCUGGGCCUUUCCUGACGCUGAGGAGCGAAAGCGUGGGGAGCGAACAGGCUUAGAUACCCUGGUAGUCCACGCUGUAAACGGUGGGUACUAGGUGUGGGGUCCAUUCCACGGGUUCCGUGCCGUAGCUAACGCUUUAAGUACCCCGCCUGGGGAGUACGGCCGCAAGGCUAAAACUCAAAGGAAUUGACGGAGCCCCGCACAAGCGGCGGAGCAUGCGGAUUAAUUCGAUGCAACGCGUAGAACCUUACCUGGGUUUGACAUGGAUCGGGAGUGCUCAGAGAUGGGUGUGCCUCUUUUGGGGUCGGUUCACAGGUGGUGCAUGGCUGUCGUCAGCUCGUGUCGUGAGAUGUUGGGUUAAGUCCCGCAACGAGCGCAACCCUUGUUCACUGUUGCCAGCACGUUAUGGUGGGGACUCAGUGGAGACCGCCGGGGUCAACUCGGAGGAAGGUGGGGAUGACGUCAAGUCAUCAUGCCCCUUAUGUCCAGGGCUUCACGCAUGCUACAAUGGCUGGUACAGAGAGUGGCGAGCCUGUGAGGGUGAGCGAAUCUCGGAAAGCCGGUCUCAGUUCGAAUUGGGGUCUGCAACUCGACCUCAUGAAGUCGGAGUCGCUAGUAAUCGCAGAUCAGCAACGCUGCGGUGAAUACGUUCCCGGGGCU